RNAcentral lists this ribosomal RNA (975 nucleotides) under uncultured bacterium. RNAcentral describes it as "bacterial SSU rRNA". It matches the Rfam family "Bacterial small subunit ribosomal RNA", at positions 84 to 1059 of the family's 1533-position model. The record is from RNAcentral.
UUUGAUGACGAGUGGCGCACGGGUGCGUAACGCGUAUAGAACCUACCCUGUACAGGGGGAUAGCCCAGGGAAAUUUGGAUUAAUACCCCGUGGUAACUAUAAAUGGCAUCAUUUAUAGUUUAAAGUUUUCGGACGGUACAGGAUGGCUAUGCGUCCUAUUAGUUAGAUGGUGAGGUAACGGCUCACCAUGGCAUCGAUAGGUAGGGGCCCUGAGAGGGGGAUCCCCCACACUGGUACUGAGACACGGACCAGACUCCUACGGGAGGCAGCAGUGAGGAAUAUUGGACAAUGGGCGUAAGCCUGAUCCAGCCAUGCCGCGUGCAGGAAGACGGCCCUAUGGGUUGUAAACUGCUUUUAUACGGGAAGAAUAAGGGACACGAGUGUCCUGGUGACGGUACCGUAAGAAUAAGGACCGGCUAACUCCGUGCCAGCAGCCGCGGUAAUACGGAGGGUCCGAGCGUUAUCCGGAAUUAUUGGGUUUAAAGGGUCCGCAGGCGGGCAAUUAAGUCAGGGGUGAAAUGGUACGGCUCAACCGUAGCACUGCCCUUGAUACUGGUUGUCUUGAGUCAUAGUGAAGUGGCCGGAAUAUGUAGUGUAGCGGUGAAAUGCAUAGAUAUUACAUAGAACACCGAUUGCGAAGGCAGGUCACUAACUAUCGACUGACGCUGAUGGACGAAAGCGUGGGGGCGAACGGGAUUAGAUACCCCGGUAGUCCACGCCGUAAACGAUGGAUACUAGCUGUCCGCUGCCUUGAGCAGUGGGCGGCCCAGCGAAAGUGAUAAGUAUCCCACCUGGGGAGUACGUUCGCAAGAAUGAAACUCAAAGGAAUUGACGGGGGCCCGCACAAGCGGUGGAGCAUGUGGUUUAAUUCGAUGAUACGCGAGAAACCUUACCAGGGCUUAAAUGCAUAAUGACAGGUCUAGAGAUAGACUUUUCUUCGGACAUUUUGCAAGGUGCUGCAUGGUUGUCGUCAGC